RNAcentral lists this ribosomal RNA (497 nucleotides) under uncultured bacterium. RNAcentral's name for it is "partial 16S ribosomal RNA". It matches the Rfam family "Bacterial small subunit ribosomal RNA", at positions 28 to 507 of the family's 1533-position model. The record is from RNAcentral.
GAUGAACGCUGGCGGCGUGCCUAAUACAUGCAAGUCGAGCGAACAGACGAGGAGCUUGCUCCUCUGACGUUAGCGGCGGACGGGUGAGUAACACGUGGAUAACCUACCUAUAAGACUGGGAUAACUUCGGGAAACCGGAGCUAAUACCGGAUAAUAUAUUGAACCGCAUGGUUCAAUAGUGAAAGACGGUUUUGCUGUCACUUAUAGAUGGAUCCGCGCGGCAUUAGCUAGUUGGUAAGGUAACGGCUUACCAAGGCAACGAUGCGUAGCCGACCUGAGAGGGUGAUCGGCCACACGGGAACUGAGACACGGUCCAGACUCCUACGGGAGGCAGCAGUAGGGAAUCUUCCGCAAUGGGCGAAAGCCUGACGGAGCAACGCCGCGUGAGUGAUGAAGGUCUUCGGAUCGUAAAACUCUGUUAUUAGGGAAGAACAAAUGUGUAAGUAACUAUGCACGUCUUGACGGUACCUAAUCAGAAAGCCACGGCUAACUACGUG